RNAcentral lists this ribosomal RNA (1340 nucleotides) under uncultured bacterium. Its description in RNAcentral is "bacterial SSU rRNA". It matches the Rfam family "Bacterial small subunit ribosomal RNA", at positions 28 to 1383 of the family's 1533-position model. The record is from RNAcentral.
GACGAACGCUGGCGGCGCGCCUAACACAUGCAAGUCGAACGAGCGAGAGAGAGCUUGCUUUCUUUGAGCGAGUGGCGAACGGGUGAGUAACGCGUGAGGAACCUGCCUCAAAGAGGGGGACAACAGUUGGAAACGACUGCUAAUACCGCAUAAGCCCACGGCUCGGCAUCGAGCAGAGGGAAAAGGAGCAAUCCGCUUUGAGAUGGCCUCGCGUCCGAUUAGCUAGUUGGUGAGGUAACGGCCCACCAAGGCGACGAUCGGUAGCCGGACUGAGAGGUUGAACGGCCACAUUGGGACUGAGACACGGCCCAGACUCCUACGGGAGGCAGCAGUGGGGAAUAUUGCACAAUGGGGGAAACCCUGAUGCAGCGACGCCGCGUGGAGGAAGAAGGUCUUCGGAUUGUAAACUCCUGUUGUUGAGGAAGAUAAUGGCGGUACUCAACAAGGAAGUGACGGCUAACUACGUGCCAGCAGCCGCGGUAAAACGUAGGUCACAAGCGUUGUCCGAAAUUACUGGGUGUAAAGGGAGCGCAGGCGGGAAGACAAGUUGGAAGUGAAAUCCAUGGGCUCAACCCAUGAACUGCUUUCAAAACUGUCUUUCUUGAGUAGUGCAGAGGUAGGCGGAAUUCCCGGUGUAGCGGUGGAAUGCGUAGAUAUCGGGAGGAACACCAGUGGCGAAGGCGGCCUACUGGGCACCAACUGACGCUGAGGCUCGAAAGUGUGGGUAGCAAACAGGAUUAGAUACCCUGGUAGUCCACACUGUAAACGAUGAUUACUAGGUGUUGGAGGAUUGACCCCUUCAGUGCCGCAGUUAACACAAUAAGUAAUCCACCUGGGGAGUACGACCGCAAGGUUGAAACUCAAAGGAAUUGACGGGGGCCCGCACAAGCAGUGGAGUAUGUGGUUUAAUUCGACGCAACGCGAAGAACCUUACCAAGUCUUGACAUCCUGCGACGGUGCUGGAAACAGUACUUUCCUUCGGGACGCAGAGACAGGUGGUGCAUGGUUGUCGUCAGCUCGUGUCGUGAGAUGUUGGGUUAAGUCCCGCAACGAGCGCAACCCUUAUGGUCAGUUACUACGCAAGAGGACUCUGGCCAGACUGCCGUUGACAAAACGGAGGAAGGUGGGGAUGACGUCAAAUCAUCAUGCCCUUUAUGACUUGGGCUACACACGUACUACAAUGGCGUUAAACAAAGAGAAGCAAGACCGCGAGGUGGAGCAAAACUCAGAAACAACGUCCCAGUUCGGACUGCUGGCUGCAAACUCGCCUGCUCGAAGUUCGGAAAUUGCUAGUAAUUCGCUGAUCAGCUUGCUGCGGUAAUUACGUUUCCCGGGCCCUU